UCUGGUUGAUCCUGCCGGAGGUCACUGCUAUCGGUGUUCGAUUAAGCCAUGCGAGUCGAGAGGCGUCAAGGCCUCGGCGUACUGCUCAGUAACACGUGGACAACCUGCCCAAAAGGUCCGGGAUAACCCCGGGAAACUGGGGAUAAUACCGGAUAAAUCACAAGUACUGGAAGGUUUUGUGGUUGAAACUUCCGGGGCCUUUGGAUGGGUCUGCGGCUGAUUAGGUUGUUGCCGGUGUAACGUACCGUCAAGCCUGUAAUCAGUACGGGUUGUGGGAGCAAGAGCCCGGAGAUGGAUUCUGAGACACGAAUCCAGGCCCUACGGGGCGCAGCAGGCGCGAAAACUCUACAAUGCAGGCAACUGCGAUAGGGGAACAUCGAGUGAUACUCAUCUUGGGUGUCUGUCCUCCCGUCUAAAAAACGGGAGUUAGCAAGGGCCGGGCAAGACCGGUGCCAGCCGCCGCGGUAAUGCCGGCGGCUCGAGUGGUAGCCGAUAUUAUUGAGUCUAAAGGGUCCGUAGCCGGCUUUGCAAGUCUUUUGGGAAAUCCAGCGGCUUAACCGUUGGUCGUCCGGGAGAUACUACAUUGCUUGGGACUGGGAGAGGUAGGAGGUACUCAGGGGGUAGGAGUGAAAUCCUGUAAUCCUUUGGGGACCACCGGUGGCGAAGGCGUCCUACCAGAACAGGUCCGACGGUGAGGGACGAAAGCUAGGGGCACGAACCGGAUUAGAUACCCGGGUAGUCCUAGCCGUAAACGAUGCUCGCUAGGUGUCACAACAAUCGUGAAUUGUUGUGGUGCCGUAGGGAAGCCGUGAAGCGAGCCACUUGGGAAGUACGACCGCAAGGUUGAAACUUAAAGGAAUUGGCGGGGGAGCAC
This 874-nucleotide ribosomal RNA is filed under the name uncultured Methanocella sp. Its description in RNAcentral is "bacterial SSU rRNA". It matches the Rfam family "Archaeal small subunit ribosomal RNA", at positions 1 to 879 of the family's 1478-position model. Lineage: Archaea; Methanobacteriati; Methanobacteriota; Methanomicrobia; Methanocellales; Methanocellaceae. The record is from RNAcentral.